GAUGAACGCUGGCGGCGUGCCUAAUACAUGCAAGUCGAGCGAACAGACGAGGAGCUUGCUCCUCUGACGUUAGCGGCGGACGGGUGAGUAACACGUGGAUAACCUACCUAUAAGACUGGGAUAACUUCGGGAAACCGGAGCUAAUACCGGAUAAUAUAUUGAACCGCAUGGUUCAAUAGUGAAAGACGGUUUUGCUGUCACUUAUAGAUGGAUCCGCGCCGCAUUAGCUAGUUGGUAAGGUAACGGCUUACCAAGGCAACGAUGCGUAGCCGACCUGAGAGGAGGAUCAGCCACACUGGAACUGAGACACGGUCCAGACUCCUACGGGAGGCAGCAGUAGGGAAUCUUCCGCAAUGGGCGAAAGCCUGACGGAGCAACGCCGCGUGAGUGAUGAAGGUCUUCGGAUCGUAAAACUCUGUUAUUAGGGAAGAACAAAUGUGUAAAUAACUAUGCACGUCUUGACGGUACCUAAUCAGAAAGCCACGGCUAACUACGUG
This 497-nucleotide ribosomal RNA is filed under the name uncultured bacterium. RNAcentral's name for it is "partial 16S ribosomal RNA". It matches the Rfam family "Bacterial small subunit ribosomal RNA", at positions 28 to 507 of the family's 1533-position model. The record is from RNAcentral.